RNAcentral lists this ribosomal RNA (467 nucleotides) under uncultured bacterium. RNAcentral describes it as "partial 16S ribosomal RNA". It matches the Rfam family "Bacterial small subunit ribosomal RNA", at positions 28 to 507 of the family's 1533-position model. The record is from RNAcentral.
GACGAACGCUGGCGGCGUGCUUAACACAUGCAAGUCGAACGGAAAGGCCUCUUUCGGGGGGUACUCGAGUGGCGAACGGGUGAGUAACACGUGAGUAACCUGCCCUUGACUUUGGGAUAACUUCAGGAAACUGGGGCUAAUACCGGAUAGGAGCUCCUGCGGCAUGGUGGGGGUUGGAAAGUUUCGGCGGUUGGGGAUGGACUAGCGGCUGAUAAGCUUGUUGGUGGGGUAGUGGCUUACCAAGGCUUUGACGAGGAGCAGGCCCGAGAGUGUGACCGGCCACAGUGGCACUGGGACACGGCCCCGACUCCUACGCGAGCGAGAAGCGGCGAAGAGUGAUCAAGCGGUGGAAGCCAGAUGCAGCAACGCCGAUGGCGGGAGGACGGCCUUCGGGUUGUAAUUCGAAUUCUCUCAUGCCGAAGCCGUGUGUGACGGUAGUGGGUAAAGAAGCACCGGCUAACUACGUG